AGAAAAAGGCUGGGGAUGUGGCUCAGUGGUAAAGUGCCUCUGGAUUCAAUCCUAAACCCUCCAAACAAAAAAUUACCUCUGUGAUUUAAAACCAUUUUCCCCGAGGAGAGGUUUAACUUAAUAACAUUCACUGUACUUCAGAAUGUUUAGAAAUAAUGAGCAUUUUAGAUACGCAUAGCCUUUAUGAUGUAGAGGAUGCAGAGAACUGACUGACAAACAGGUGGUCUACCCAGACAAGCCAGUAGAUAAAAGAUAGAUGGACAUAUUUUGGAGAGCUAGAAAUAAAUUCCUACAAGUCUGAAGAUCUGCUGUUGCCAGUAAGCAAAACCCUAAGUAUUCCAUGCCCAGUGUUUUUGUGGAGAGAAUAUUCCGAGUGAUGUCAUSACAUUGGGCUGACACCAGGAGUCCGUGUAAUGUGGACUUGAUAAGAGCAAGCUACAAGUCCAGGAGAAUUUCACAUCUGACUGUGUUCAGUUUUACCACUGCAAAAAAAAGAAUGGUGUGCUCCAGGUUGCAGGUGGUUCAGAGAGGUAUUACUGGAAAAGGAAGGCAGAAGAGGAAGACUUUACACAUCCAGGCAUCUGGUGCCCAGUGGUAGUCCCAGCUGCUUGGGAGACUGAGGACCAAUUAUCCUUCGUGAAGAGAAGCUCUGAAUAAUUACUUUUGGCUCAUGGGAUAAGGCAGACCUUUCAGUUUGAGCUGGGCCUGCACAGACAAACCCAAGGAAAGACUUUCGAGAGAGAAACAGCUGAAUUAGGAAAAGAUCCAGUACUGGGUGCGUGUUGA
Non-coding RNA from Urocitellus parryii (Arctic ground squirrel), 786 nucleotides. Lineage: Eukaryota; Metazoa; Chordata; Mammalia; Rodentia; Sciuridae. The record is from RefSeq and is a predicted model, not a curated record.